Molecule: long non-coding RNA, 1075 nt
Organism: Eucalyptus grandis
Lineage: Eukaryota; Viridiplantae; Streptophyta; Magnoliopsida; Myrtales; Myrtaceae
Exons: 2
Source: RefSeq, a predicted model, not a curated record
CAUUAAAGAAGAGUUAUCUAAGGGUAGUUUGGUUUAGUUAUGUUGGGACCUACACAAGAAGUUAGAAGUUUGGACAUACCAUCUACUUCUUUUUUACUUGCAAUAAACAUAUGAUACAAGGUGACUCACUACGUAUUUCAAUUAACUAGAGCAUUUGUUGCAAUAAAUUGGACCCUUCUGACUUUUUCUAAAUGAUUGUUGGAUCAAAAGGACAAGCACUAGUGUCUCAUUGCAUUUUGAUUAUUUUUAGUUUAUAAUAUAAAGGAGGAAUUUGAUUACAUGGAGCGUCCUGUCUUGAUCAGUGUUGUUUUGUGGCACGUCUGUUUUAGGUUUGUUGUGUAGCUUGUUUAGCAUUGUUUUGUUGAGUGAAGUGAGGAGAUGAGAGGGAGAGAGAGCAAGAUCACUUAUAAAAGGAAGUGAAUGAAAGUGAGAGUGUGAGUGAGUGAGGGAAAAGCAAUAUGAGGGUGAGCAGGUGGAGAAACUGGCCAAGCUUCAGAAACUCACUUCUUUUCCAAACAAAGUCUAUGCUUCUCAACUUCACUUCAUGCCUCAGAUACAAGGCCAAAGGUAACAUGAAUGGCCUGACGAUGCUUUACAAGGACAUGGAGUCUUGUGAGGAAUGUGGAGACAUAAGAGUGAUGUGGGAGCUGAUUCAGUCUUCUCGUCCUCCCGAUAAUGAUCACAACACCAGUUUCCGGAGACACUGGACUCGGAGAUUCUGCUUCAGGCCAAAGGAGACAGAUUGUAAGUCAUAAAAAAUGAUGUUGGUCGAUUAGGUCGACUUUAUAUGCCAAGAAAUUCGUUUUUGAAGCUAGCUUACAUUCUGCUACCAAGGAAAGGCGAUAUGGGUAGAUCCUGUUUUUUGUUCCUAGGGCCAUCGCAAUUGCGUAAAUUUCUUUACAAUAUAGACUGUGAUUACGAUGAAAAUGUUGUUGACCGCUCUAGUAUCUGUACAGAUGAUGGCAGUCGGUUCGAAUUGGGGAAAAUUGGCCUGAUGUAUGAGGUUGAAUGAAAUCAACAAGAGGCAGUCUGUAAUAAAGUUGAUCUUCGAAUAAUACUCAUAACCUAAACCUAA